AUUUUAUUUCAAUUUAUGGCACUUUGCCAAAAAAGCUUGACACAUCAUUUUAUAAAAGUGAUACUACUAAUUUCAUCACAUUUCAAAGUUUUCAGCUAUAGCGUUUCAUUCAAUAAAAAAUGAAAGAAGUUGUGAUACUCCUGUUACUGAUAAGUAUUGCUUCAGUAAAUGGUAAUUGCCUAUCGAUGUGUGUUGAUAACUCAAACUGCCCAACACUACACUGCUCUGAUAAUGAAACACCUCAAAUACACAAUUGUGAUUGUUGCCCUACAUGUCGACCGAAACUAAGUACAUCCUGAGAAUGGCAAAUUCAUUUUCUGAAAAAAAGAAGGAAAACCAUUCCAAAUAUCAUGGAAAAAUCUGUUAAUAAAGUACAAAUAAUAAUAACAUUGAUUUUACUAAUUUUUUUAUUAGUAUAAUUACCAUGGUCAAAAAACCGUAAAACACUAUGGAACAUGUCCAAUUAUAGUAUUAUAAAAUAAAUAUUACACAUUUGAAAGGA
Molecule: long non-coding RNA, 502 nt
Organism: Parasteatoda tepidariorum (common house spider)
Lineage: Eukaryota; Metazoa; Arthropoda; Arachnida; Araneae; Theridiidae
Source: RefSeq, a predicted model, not a curated record